Molecule: small RNA, 2383 nt
Filed under: Pongo abelii (Sumatran orangutan)
Lineage: Eukaryota; Metazoa; Chordata; Mammalia; Primates; Hominidae
Description: retained intron
Source: RNAcentral
UUUCUAUUCUUCUGGCUUUACUAUUUUUGUUUUCUGAAAAGCAGUGUAUUUUGGCAGAUGUUGUAGGUGGUUUUCUAUGUGAGGGUCGGAAUGAUACGGAAGUGAGGGAUGUAGGAAGUAAGGCAGGUAGUGCCCCCUCCACUCCUGAGGAAGAGUUUGCCGACAGAGGCUGACCAGAGACACAAAAUUUACCACCAGCUUGUCUGAUAGAGAAGAAAUAAGAAGAAAGUGGCUUAUUUCAUGAAUAUCAGUCAUACAACAUUAAAUGAGUCGAUGAUACUUUUCAGUGUAGAUGUUUAACUGCUUAUGACCCCCUGUGAGUUUUCAAAAUCAAGUUGUAAUUACUAGGACACUUUUUUCUAAGUAAUAUCAUUAGUUUUAAUUGAAGACUUUUUGAACAUGAAAGAUUUUAUUAUACUUCAAAACUUCAUCAGAUAAAAUGACCUCAAAAACAAUACUAGAUUUAGCUUCUUUACAAAUUCCCAUUAUUUCAUAAGUUUCUUAUUUUCUUUAUUAUCAAGUACCUAAUUUCUAAAUGCAGUUGUAAUUAUUUUAGAAUUUUGUAACAGUGUAUAAGUGCUAUGAGAUAUUAUGAGUACACCACUUUCUUUACACAUUAAAGCAUAAUUUAUGUUUUUUGAUGCAGUGCAUAUAAUUUAUAUGAAGUUUUAAAUUUAGGAUGUUACUUCUUUUUUGAUUUGGAAAAAAUAGUUAUAGGUAAGGGCAGAGAAUGAUGCUAUAGUUCCAAUUCACAGUCUGUAUCAUGCAACUUAUUUCUGAAUGUUACUUAAUAUUUUUUCUAAUGUUUAUGCAUAUAAGAACAAUUUAUAUUAGAAAGAGUAAACUUCACUGUUAAUUAAAAGGAAAAAAGGAAUCUCUCCAUAGCCUGAACUCUGCCCAGUGGAAAGAAUGCCCCCAAGCCAAAGUGUAACACCAGUCCUUAAGGGAAAUACAAUCUUGAUUCCAUUGCUUUUAAAUAUGAGCUCCUUGUCUGUUUCAACGUAGCCUAAUUCAGGUGAAACAAAACCACUGAUCAGAAUGACAGAAAUCUAAUACUCGUUUGAAAUAGGCCAGUAAAGUGAGCCAUAGAUUGAUCCUGCUAGUUUGGUCUUACUAUUUUGGCCCUUGUGAACUUGGCAGAAAAUGUAAGCAGCCAUGUCCUUAGAACCCCUAGUGGAUAAAGAAUAUGCAACUUGUUGUGUGCCGUUUUACAAACUAACAGGGUCUUGUGAAUAACUACUGUUUCAUCUCUGUUUUCUGUGUUAUGAAUUCCAGUAAUAGUUUUCAAAUUGACAUCAGUGAUCCAAGUAAGUCAUCUGUAAUGUAGAAUGAGUAAGAUGGAACCAAUAUAGGGAAGGCAAAAACAGUCUUCAUUAUUACAGCCAGUACUGUCUAUUUCUCAUCUGUCAAAUUUAAGAAUUAUUCAUCAAAUAGGCAAAGAGGAGUUGAGAAAGGAAUCUUGUUUUUAGUUCAUUUCAAGAUUCUGUUAAAAACUUUUCCAUAGAAAUGAUUCCUAACUGUACUGCAUGAUUCUGUUUUCAUAGUUGUGAUUUUGUUUGUCUGUCUAAAGGCUGAUAGCUAAUUUGUUGCGGCUUGGAAGAAAUACUAAUUCUCUUUGGGGUUUUCCUCUUUAGCGGUGGGUCUCGGAAAAGUUCAUUGUUGAGGGCUUAAGAGAUUUGGAACUGUUUGGAGAACAGCCUCCGGGUGACACUCGGAGAAAAACCAAUGAUGCGAGCUCAGAGUCAAUAGCAUCCUUCUCUAAACAGGAGGUCAUGAGUAGCUUUCUGCCAGAGGGAGGGUGUUACGAGCUGCUCACUGUGAUAGGCAAAGGAUUUGAGGACCUGAUGACUGUGAAUCUAGCAAGGUACAAACCAACAGGAGAGUAUGUGACUGUACGGAGGAUUAACCUAGAAGCUUGUUCCAAUGAGAUGGUAACAUUCUUGCAGGGCGAGCUGCAUGUCUCCAAACUCUUCAACCAUCCCAAUAUCGUGCCAUAUCGAGCCACUUUUAUUGCAGACAAUGAGCUGUGGGUUGUCACAUCAUUCAUGGCAUACGGUUCUGCAAAAGAUCUCAUCUGUACACACUUCAUGGAUGGCAUGAAUGAGCUGGCGAUCGCUUACAUCCUGCAGGGGGUGCUGAAGGCCCUCGACUACAUCCACCACAUGGGAUAUGUACACAGAAUCUCCAGGGUUAUGAUGCCAAGUCUGACAUCUACAGUGUGGGAAUCACAGCCUGUGAACUGGCCAACGGCCACGUCCCCUUUAAGGAUAUGCCUGCCACCCAGAUGCUGCUAGAGAAACUGAAUGGCACAGUGCCCUGCCUGUUGGAUACCAGCACCAUCCCCGCUGAGGAGCUGACCAUGAGCCCUUCGCGCUCAGUGGCC